Long non-coding RNA from Oncorhynchus tshawytscha (Chinook salmon), 1869 nucleotides. NCBI's taxonomy places the organism in Eukaryota, Metazoa, Chordata, Actinopteri, Salmoniformes, Salmonidae. The record is from Ensembl.
GUCAAAUACAUGAACACAACAACGUGUAGCUAUGAAUGGAGAGGGAUGCUUUAAGAAAACACCGAAACGCAGCACUUUGACCUGAACAAACUAGAACAUUCAUCGGUAUGUAAUAAUGUACAUGGUUGUAAACAGGGUUGACGGGGGGGUUCGAUUCCAUUUCAAAUCAGAAAGUUAAAACCAAAUUACAAUUCCAAAUGUUUCCUCAUUAAAAAGCAUUGACGAUUGUUGAAAUUCCAAUUUUUCCUUCCUGAAUUGAAAUGGAAUUUACCCCCAACCUUGGUUGUAAACUAAUAGAUGUCCACUCUGGGCCACCGUAGUAGUGGACAUAAGAGCCUGGAGUUACUACUGACCCCUUGACCUGACCAGGUAGGCAUAUUUAACAGCUGUUUGGCUGUUGUUUGGCAGACCAGGUUCAUUCAUAUACCAAAUCAAUUCCUUUCCUUUUUAAGACAACACUGACCGGUGUCUAAGAGCAUUGGGCUUAAUAUAAAGGAGACUGGGGCUGCAUGGGAGAUAUCUCAAUCCACUACACUGGCUUCCUUCUUUCAUCUCCUUUCCUUCAUGAUAGGUGAGAGAGGCUUUCACCAUAUGUUGCUUCCACCUGCCAGAUCAGAGAUCACGAAGGAGAAGUACAAUGAAAGGAAGCACGCUUACACUAUUGAGACAGCCCAGGUCCUGUAUCUAGAUUGGGGAAGUAACCUAUUAUACUCACUACUUAAAUAAACACAUUUUUAAAAAAGAAUUUGCAAGGCACAGUGAAAUUUACAACUGGUAAACAUCAGUUACCUAGACAUCAUUAAAUCCAGUAGGUUUCUAGUAAUAUGGCCUAACGACAGAUUCUAAUUUGGUCCAAAAGGAUAGACAAGUUUGAGUGCAUUUGCAGCAAACAGAUGACAUAUCUUAACCUUUAGACAGUACCAGGUCAUAUCUUAACCUUUAGACAGUACCAGGUCAUAUCUUAACCUUUAGACAGUACCAGGUCAUAUCUUAACCUUUAGGUAGUACCAGGUCAUAUCUUAACCUUUAGGUAGUACCAGGUCAUAUCUUAACCUUUAGACAGUACCAGGUCAUAUCUUAACCUUUAGACAGUACCAGGUCAUAUCUUAACCUUUAGACAGUACCAGGUCAUCUCUUAACCUUUAGACAGUACCAGGUCAUAUCUUAACCUUUAGACAGUACCAGGUCAUAUCUUAACCUUUAGACAGUACCAGGUCAUAUCUUAACCUUUAGACAGUACCAGGUCAUCUCUUAACCUUUAGACAGUACCAGGUCAUGUCUUAACCUUUAGACAGUACCAGGUCAUGUCUUAACCUUUAGACAGUACCAGGUCAUCUCCAUUGGCAAUCCAAUUGUGAAAGAUCUGUAUUUCUUGACCGGAGUGUUGAGGGUUAAUUGAUAAUCCCGGAUGUUGUUUGGAGUAAAAGGGUGAACGUGAGUUGAUGUACAAAUUGGUGAUCUUUCCAAGACCACUGGUAUAGAGAAAUAUACAUUACCAUUGUUAUCGUCAUAACUAAACUGAAAUGUGUUGCUUUAAAAAAAAACUAAAUUACAUAUUUAAGUAAUAUGCAAUAAUACCAAAACAUCAACCAUGUACUUUUCAAUUCAUAAUGAAACUCACAGAAGAUACCACUUCACAUGUUUCAGCAUUUAAAAGCAAAACAUGUAGAAUAGUAUAAUAGUCCCAUCAUACAAAGACUAACAUUAAGCUGAGACAAAAACCUGCUGAACAAAACAUGAAGCACUGACAGACAGAGAGAACAUGAAGCACUGAGAGAGAGAGAACAUGAAGCACUGACAGACAGAGAGAACAUGAAGCACUGACAGAGAGAGAGAACAUGAAGCACUGAGAGACAGAGAGAACAUGAA